CCUACGGGUGGCAGCAGUCGAGAAUUUUUGACAAUGGGGGAAACCCUGAUCGAGCGACGCCGCGUGGAGGAUGAAGGUCUUCGGAUUGUAAACUCCUGUCAUUGGGGAACAAGUCGCUUACGUUAACUGCGUGAGCGUUGAUAGUACCCGAAGAGGAAGAGACGGCUAACUCUGUGCCAGCAGCCGCGGUAAUACAGAGGUCUCAAGCGUUGUUCGGAUUCAUUGGGCGUAAAGGGUGCGUAGGCGGCGCGGUAAGUCGGGUGUGAAAUCUCGGAGCUUAACUCCGAAACUGCAUUCGAUACUGCCGUGCUUGAGGACUGGAGAGGAGACUGGAAUUUACGGUGUAGCGGUGAAAUGCGUAGAUAUCGUAAGGAAGACCAGUGGCGAAGGCGGGUCUCUGGACAGUUCCUGACGCUGAGGCACGAAGGUCAGGGGAGCAA
This 440-nucleotide ribosomal RNA is filed under the name uncultured bacterium. RNAcentral describes it as "bacterial SSU rRNA". It matches the Rfam family "Bacterial small subunit ribosomal RNA", at positions 338 to 771 of the family's 1533-position model. The record is from RNAcentral.